ACGUAGUAGAUAAUUAAGUUUACGAUAAAAUUAAGAUGGUGAACAAAAAUACUCUCUAAAUAAAAGUGUAUUUGAAAGGUCUUCUAACAACGGCAACAACAACUACAAUAAUAACAAUGAAAGCGUAGUGGGCGACCUCAACAAACAAACCUUUGGUCCUUUUUCGUUUCAUGAUUCCAUUUCCCUAGUCCGAAUACACAGUAAGGAGAAAACAAAAAAGUCUUAGGAAAUUAAAACAAAAGUAAAGAGAAAACAACAAGUUUUAGGAAAUCAAACUUCUCAAUAAGGGACUAUGAUCAUGAUAAAACAUCAUACAGGACAAAGUACAGUAGAGGAUUUUGUUUUGAUUCGUUCAAUAAUUGUUGCAGCCAAUUAACUGCCAUGACUUCGUUUAGGAAACCAGGCAGCUCGGACCCCUUCCUUUGACUUCUUGAUCUUGACAAAACAUUUUAGCCAAGGUGGUUUUCCCACAUCCUCCAGCAGCAGUCAGCACAAGCAUAGACACCUUUUCAUCCUUAAGGAGCUUCAUCUUCAACUCCUUCAACGGCAAAUCCAACCUGACUGUAACUGAUGGCGGUUCAGGCACCAGACGAACACUUCACCUUUUGUGGCUGAUUAGAUUAGUUUUUAUCACCAAACUCUCUUCUAUUCGAGAGAGAAUCAAAGUUUCCCUAAAUAUGUAUGUGGAUUCAGUCGUAAUGGGUGCUCUGAGAACGGCAUUUCAAAUGCUGGUUGAUGCUAUAAAAUCAGUGCAGGAGGAGAAUACAGUGUUCCAACACCUCCUGAGAGACAUCAAAUCUACACUGGACUCUCUACAACCACUCAUAAAAAAAUAUAACGCGAAAGAGGGACUAUAAAAUUUUGCAAUACAGACAGAGGAGGGAGCAAAUCUUGUUCAAAAGUCCACACGCCAACUUUGCUGCACUUUUGAACAAGAUUUGCUCCCUCCUCCAUCUGUAUUGCAAAUUUGCAGUCCCUCUUUCGGGUUAUAUUUUUUUAUGAGUGGUUGUAGAGAGUCAAGUGUGGAUUUGAUGUUUCUGGGGAGGUGUUCGAACAUUGUAUUCUCCUCCUCAGCUGGUUUCACAGCACAAACCGCAUUUAAAAUGCCGUGACCAAAGCCACAUACAUAAUUACGAAAAGAAAGAGACUCAAAACUCAAUUCUCUUACAUAAUCUGAUGAAAGAACAGAAAUUCCAAUGGAUUUACGGAGAGAGAGUAAAAUAAUCUAGCUUGAUGAGAAACUGAGGAUGUUAUGUAAGUUGUUUCUUCGCGACUCGGAGUUUCAGCACACAUAUAUACAACUCAACGAACGUGUUGACCAAAUAAAAAACACGGAAUUAGGAGGCGGGAUGAGACACGGAAUUUUAAAAAUUGAUCCUAUUUUUUUUAUAACAUAAAAGUCGGUGGUUCUAGAGCUGCGUGUGGCCUCUGAGUAGGCUGCGCGUCUGGACUUGGUUUGGUGGUUUGCACGACUUUGUUUUGUAUUGUUUUGUGGACCUCUUUUGUUGUUUUUUGUUUUUAUGAUUAAUAAAAAUUCAUGGAAUGUUUUUGUUUAAAAUUUUAUUUUGUAAAACUCUUUUUUUUUUUUUCAUUUUCAUUAAAUAAAGUUGAGUUAGUGUAUUUUUUUUUCUCUUUUCAUUGAAUAAAGUUAUUCGGAUGCUUUUGGUUUAAAAAAGUUUUAUAAGAGCCCUUAUCAUUAAAGCUCCCAAGAAAUUACGCUAGCAACUCUCUCAUUUUCCUUACCAAAAUCUUAGAUCCACAAAAUAUAUAGACUCUGGCUCGUUGCUCCAACUUAAGGUUGGUGAAAGCCCUUCUCCCUUCCCCUCGCCUUACUAUUUUCUCUUCCCAUAGAUUGUUGUAGAUUUAUUUUCGUUUUAGUAUUUAUGUUAAUAAGAGGCUUCUUGGUGAGUUAUUAGUGAGUCUCUCCUAUUGAGUAUUUUAGUUUUAUUAUUGCUGUGUUAUUGGCUCUUCUUGGGUCUACUUUAGUGUUCUUAGUAGCUUCGUUGAUGGUGUUGAGAAAAAAAUCCGGGGAGACAUUAUUUGGGUCAUUGCCAGUUUCUCUUCGAGUUAGCAUUGCUCGUUGCAAAUAAUGUCUUUAGCAUGUUCGUUAUGUUGCAAUUUCGUGCAUAUAAUUUGCUAAGUGCUUGACUGUUUCUUCAUGAACGAAGUUUUUUUUGGCUUUGGAGUGCCAUCUUAGUCUUUCGAGUUUAAGUGUGGACGACUUCAAGACCUGAAUGCUUUCCUUUGCUUAUUCUUGUGCUUGUUUUGCUCUCAUAUCCACCAAUACGGUGGCAACUAGUUUAGCCAAUUUGACCCUUAGAACAUCUAGACACCAUUUUGUAAUUAUUUAAUUUUUAGUUUUUGUUUGCACUUAUUUUUUAAACUAAAAAAUUUUAGUAACGACCUUUAGUUUUCUGUUAAAAAGAAAUGAAAAUUGAAAACUACAAGGCCGAUUGAUCAUUAUUUCAUUUUCAAUUUUGUUUUAUGUUUUCUGAAAUUGAAAACUUGCUUGGUAACUACUUUCAAUUUGUAGUUUUUAAAAGCUAACUAUUUAAAUUAAAAAAAUUGGAAUUUCAAGAAAACUAAAUAUUGAAAUUAGUUAUGUUUUGAAAUAUAUCAAUAGUUAUUUUUUAAAAUAUGUUAAUAAUUAUGUGGGUACAAUAUUUUUCUGCCAUAAUUUUGUGAAAAACAAUAUUACUAUAUUAUUGAUUUUUACGUAUUUAUUAUAUUUAAAAAAUAUUAUUUGAAUUUUUUAAAUUUCAUAAUUUGUGCGAUAUUAAAUGCAUAAAUGCAUGAGUUAAAUCUCUUAAAUGAUGCUAAGGACCUCAAUCAAAAUAUUUAAACAAACAAGGUUUCAGUCUAACAAUUAAGCUGAUUAGUGACCGAAACCAAAAUGACCCUUAUAUUAAACUCAUCUUCACAUGCCAUGCUAUAUCAUAUCGUCCCUUCACAUGUUGGUUAUCCUUGAUAAUAUGUAGCUUACCACAUAACCCCUAAAUUGAUUAUUCUAUCCUAAUGACUUGCCAUACAUUUAUCCCUCAGAUAAUCCCACACUAACGUUCUUAUACUUCAAUAAUAUUUCCAAAUAUCCACAUAUCAUCACUAUAUAUAAUAACUUUAAAUAUGCAUGUCACCAAAUCCAACUUGCUUGACUUGAAAUAGAGAGAUAUUUGUAAAUAGAGUAAAAUCACAUGAUAACUCAUGGUUUUUAGUUAUUAAAAAAUAAGAGUAGUUUGAACACCACACCUUACAUAAACCACUCACCUCAAUCAAUAGCUAAAACCUCGGCAAGACAACCCAUGUACUGAUCCCCAUGAAUCCAACUUAAUAACCCUAGCUUUCUUUCUCCUUUCUUUCUUUUAUCUCUCUCUGUGUAAUAUACACACACGCAUGUAUAUAUAUAACUAUGAGAACUAAAUCAUUGGCAUGCUGCAUGCAUAUUCUAUAUGAAACCAUUAAGUUCACAUUUGGAAACCCAACGGUACUAUCUAUUUAUAGUAGAAGAUGUCGGCUCCUACACUUAGAGACUAAGUAAUAAUAUCAAUAUGAAACCAUUAAGUUCACAUUUGGAAACCAAACGGUCCACCUAUUUAUAUUAGAAAAGGUCGGCUCCAGCCCUUAGAGACUAAGUAAUAAUUUUAAUAUGAAACCAUUCAGUUCACAUUUGGAAACCAAACGUUACUACCUAUUUAUAGUAGAAAAGGUCGCUCCAACACUUAGGGACUAAGUAAUAGUUUUAAUAUAAUAUGAGUAGAUAUAUAGGUGCUACAGAUUUGUUCUCAAACCAAAGGAAGAUAACUCUUUUCCUUAUGUCGACUGGUCCUGCUUCUAAAAACAUGAAUCAUGCACGCACCUCUCUUGCUUCUGCUUGUGCCCCAAUUAGUUUGAACUAUAUGCAUAGGACACCUAUUCACAUACUUGCCACCUCAAGCUAAAACAAAUGAAAUCUUAGAUAGGAAGAAUGCCACCACCUAUAGACAGCUCUACCGUACUACACCUCCUAAUAACACCUCACGCUAAGCCAAUAUGGUGAGUCAACAACGUGUACUGAAACUUCAGUAUGAUAAAUAUACAUAAAUAGCUUGUAACUUUAAUUGCUAAGUAAGUAUAUAUACAUGAGGAAUACUAGCAAAAUAAAAUGAAAAACAAACUUCUGUUUAUUCCACUAAUCCGAAAAACCUUACAAUUGUACAAUAUAUAUAUAUAUAUAUAUAUAUAUAUAUAUAUAUAUAUAACCCUUAAAUCUUUCGUCUAACACAAUUUCAGCUCGUCUAGCACCUAUUUUGUCAAAUAACUCAUCUGUAAAUAAAAGGGUGAGCGGUACUGAGCAACAACCACCGUUGCUUAGUGAGUAAAACAUGUAAUAUGUCAGUUAAGCAAUGUCAUUUUAUACACGCUAGAAAAUAUGAGAAUAAUAUCAAAGCUUUAGCCACAUAAUUUCACAUCACAUCAUCACUUUACGCAAUCAUUAUAUCUUUCAUCAAAUAUACAACUCACCAUAUGGUUUUGAGGAAUGUAUAGACUGCUAUAAAGGCAAGACUACCAAUCUUAGUAACAAAACUCAAGCCACAAGAAGUAAUGAUCUCUUAGAGAUCAUUCACACUGAUGUAUGUGGUCCAUUUCCAGCUAGAACCGUCUGUGGAAACUCACAUUUUGUCCUCUUCAUUGAUGAUUUCUCAAAAUCCACUUAUUUGUAUUUGAUUUCUGAAAAAUCUCAAGUUUUAAAUUGUUUUAAAAUUUUCAAAGUUGAGGCUGAAAAACAAUUAGAAGGACCAUUUGCCUUAUACCUCUAGAAAAAUGGGAUUGCAGCUGAUCAAUACACAACCCUAGGGACACCAUCUCAAAAUGUUGUUUCUGAGAGGAGAAAUAGAACCCUCGUUCAAAAGAAUGGUGAGGAGUAUGAUGUCACACUCCCACUUGCCUAAGUUCUUAUGGGGAGAAUCCAUUAAAACUGCAAAUUAUAUAUUGAAUAGAGUGCCUACAAAAGUUGUUAAGGUCACUCCUAUUGAAGUCUUGAUGGGUAGAAAACCAAGCUUGUCACACUUUCAUACAUGGGGAUAUCAAUGUGAAGCCCGAAUCUACAAUCCAAAUGAAAGGAAAUUGGAUUUGAAAACAACAAGUUGUUACUUUGUUGGAUAUGCACAGGAGUCAAAAGGUUUUCGAUUUUAUUGUCCUCGUCAUUAUACCAGAAUUGCAGAAAGUCACAAUGCCAUACAUUGAAAAUUAUGAGGAAACUUGUGUAUCAAGUAACAUAUCCUAUGUUUUUUAGGAGAGAAAUGAAGAUGCAUAAGAAAUUAGGAAUGCUUCUGAGAUGAAUCAAUCCAUUUUGUUACCAUUGGCUCCUAUACAAAUUGGACCAAGUUCAAUUUCAACUACAACAGUUAAUGCACAACAUAUAAGUGGAAAUGUGGGAGCUUGUACCAACUUGCAAGAACCUGCACUGUCUCUUCCAACACCACCAACUAUAAUUCAAGACAAUAUAUUUCCCUCUUGAGAAACACAUCAUGAUUAGUAAUUACCAAGUAUGCCUGAGCCUUCACAGGUUGUGAGAAAAUCCACAAGAUUUACAUGGUUUAUUUGCAAGAAAUAGAAUAUGAUAUUGGUGAUGAAAAUGAUCCUACAAGUUUUAAAGAGGCUAUGUAAAGUACUAAUUCUAGUUUAUAGAAAGUUGCAACUGGUUUCAAUGCACAAAAACACAGUUUGAACUUUAGUUAAAGAUGCAGAAAACUUGAAAUCCAUAGGUUGCAAAUGGAUUUUCAAGACAAAACAUGAAUUAUAAGGAAAUGUUGAAAGGUUUAAGGCAAGGUUGGUGAUAAAAGAAUUCACUCAGAGAGAAGGAGUGGAUUAUAAUGAAACAUUUUCUGUAGUAUCUACCAAAGACUCUUUUAGAGUUAUUAUGACACUCACUGCACAUUUCAAUCUUAAAUUACAUCAGAUGGAUGUAAAAAUUGCAUUUCUUAAUGGAGAAUUGGAAAAGAACAUUUAUAUGAAACAACCUCUUGGAUUCAUUGAAGGGGAGAAAGGAAAAUUGGGUCUGUAAGUUGAACAAAUCGAUAUAUGGUUUGAAACAAGCUUGGAGAAAAUGGUACAAGAAAUUUGAUCAAGUUGUCAUAGCUUUUGGUUUUGCAGAAAAUAAAAUUAACAAUUGCAAGUAUAUGAAAAUUGUGAAGUCCAUCUUCAUUUUUCUGGUUUCGUAUGUGGAUGACAUUUUGUUAGCUAGUACCAAUGUUAAUUAUUGAAUGUAACCAAGAAACCAUUGUCUAGUCAUUUUGAUAUGAAGGAUAUGGGACAAGCUCAUAAUAUUUUGGGGAUUGAAAUUGUGGAUGCAAAUUUCUUCCUCCUUGUUCAUGGACAAAAUUGCACCUACAAAACAAAUAACACCUUAGGUCAAGGCCAAGAGUCUCACGUGCCCACGAUGAAUGGGGGGGCUUUGACAAAAGAACCUUCGAUGCCAAAGUUAGAAUUUUGAAGGAAAAGUGUUUGGAGAAUUUAGAGAAUUUAGCAAGAGAAUAGGAAUUGAGUUUUGGAGAAAAUGAGGGUGUUUAUAUAGGGGUGUGGCCGGCCCCUUUGGGAGGAGAUGGACCGGCCACUUGGAUGGUUUUUUGGGUGACAUUCAUGAUUUGUAGCUAAUUAGUAAAUUAAUUGAAUAAUAAAUCAAUUAAUUAGCUAAUUAAUAUAAUUAAAAAGGAAUGAUUUGGGGGUUACCUUGUGGAGAAGAUUUGACGAGGAUGGAUGAAAUAGGUUUUGAAUAAAUACCUAUUUUGGGCACUUUUGACUUGAUUGAGGGAUGGUUGUCCACUGCUUGUACGUAGGAGUUCCGGUGUUCCUCGAGGGUAAUUUUGUCCUUUUUACCCUAGAAUCCAUGUGUUGCCUCCAUAUUCUUCCUGAUUAUUUUUGGCUCCACAAAUGCACCCACACCUGUUAAGUUGCUCGCAAGAAAGGGCAACAGGUGUUGAGAUCUUCUUGCUUUAGGAAACGUAGAAUUGUUUCCUAUACUGAUGUAGAUUCCCUCUUUAAUUAGAAAUUAGAUCCUUCUAGGAAAGGGAAAUAAAUCACUGUUAAAGUCUAAUUAAGUAUACCUUAAGUAGAUGAUUAAAUCAACUUUAGAGAGCAAUUUAUUCUACCAUACAAAAGAGAGAAAGCUAAAGGAUAUUUGUUCCCCCUCCCCUAGCAAUCUUCUACACUUUCUCGUGCAAAGGACUGUCUUUCGUUGCUUUCUUCGUCUUCUCCGUGCCGCACCAAGGUAAGAAAAAUUUAAUUUUCCUUGUAUUUUUCUUGGACAGUGUUGUCGCGGGGUAACCAUCGAGGUGGUGUAGCAUGUCGGCUGGCAGGGGCCAAGAGUCUGCUCGGCAUGGGCCGAGGAGUGUUAUGGCAGGGACCACUGCUUGGGCUGCUCAACUUGGCUAGAGGCAAGGGCAACUGCGCGACUGGGGUCGUGGAUUGAGGUGCUAGGG
RNAcentral lists this long non-coding RNA (7454 nucleotides) under Malus domestica (apple). RNAcentral describes it as "long non-coding RNA (MDOM_LNC014959)". Lineage: Eukaryota; Viridiplantae; Streptophyta; Magnoliopsida; Rosales; Rosaceae. The record is from RNAcentral.